RNAcentral lists this ribosomal RNA (252 nucleotides) under uncultured bacterium. Its description in RNAcentral is "partial 16S ribosomal RNA". It matches the Rfam family "Bacterial small subunit ribosomal RNA", at positions 524 to 776 of the family's 1533-position model. The record is from RNAcentral.
UACGUAGGGUGCGAGCGUUGUCCGGAAUUACUGGGCGUAAAGAGUUCGUAGGCGGUUUGUCGCGUCGUUCGUGAAAACUUGGGGCUUAACUCCAAGCGUGCGGGCGAUACGGGCAGACUUGAGUACUACAGGGGAGACUGGAAUUCCUGGUGUAGCGGUGAAAUGCGCAGAUAUCAGGAGGAACACCGGUGGCGAAGGCGGGUCUCUGGGCCGAUACUGACGUGAGGAGCGAAAGCGUGGGGAGCGAACAGG